Molecule: transfer RNA, 71 nt
Filed under: Loxodonta africana (African savanna elephant)
Lineage: Eukaryota; Metazoa; Chordata; Mammalia; Proboscidea; Elephantidae
Rfam family: tRNA
About the family: Transfer RNA (tRNA) molecules are approximately 80 nucleotides in length. Their secondary structure includes four short double-helical elements and three loops (D, anti-codon, and T loops).
Source: Rfam by way of RNAcentral
GCAGUGGUCGUUCAGUGGUAGAAUUCAUCUCUUCCAUACAUGAGACCCAGGUUCAAUUCGCAGCCAAUGCA